Molecule: long non-coding RNA, 221 nt
Filed under: Lathyrus oleraceus (garden pea)
Lineage: Eukaryota; Viridiplantae; Streptophyta; Magnoliopsida; Fabales; Fabaceae
Description: Pisum sativum (pea) long non-coding RNA (PSAT_LNC030351)
Source: RNAcentral
CAAAACCACAUUAUAUUAACCCAUGGCCCAAGCAUUUCCCCACCAUGUUCAGAAUAUUUAUGUGAGUUAUCAGACUUAUGUUCAUUCUAAGUUUGUGGUUGCUGUUGGAAUAACAACCUUUAAGUUUGGGGUGGCUGUGCAACAUUAGUACAAAUGAGGGCACUUGAUGAUUGAAAAAAAGAAGAGAAGAAAAAGAAAAUAUGAAUAUUUGAAAAAUCAAA